This 433-nucleotide ribosomal RNA is filed under the name uncultured bacterium. RNAcentral's name for it is "partial 16S ribosomal RNA". It matches the Rfam family "Bacterial small subunit ribosomal RNA", at positions 29 to 507 of the family's 1533-position model. The record is from RNAcentral.
AACGAACGCUGGCGGCAUGCCUAACACAUGCAAGUCGAACGAGACCUUCGGGACAAGUUGCUCACAGGUGCGUAACGCGGGGGAACCUGCCCUUAGAUUCGGGAUAACUCCUCGUAAUGGGGGCUAAUACCGGGUAAUGUCCUCUGAUCAAAGAUCUAUCGUCUUUGUGUAAGCCCGCGUUGUCUUAACUAGGUGCUAUGGUAAAAGCCUACCAAGGCUACGAUCCAUAGCUGGUCUGAGAGAAUCAUCAGCCACACUUGGACUGAGACACGGCACAGACUCCUACGGGAGGCAGCAGUGGGUAAUAUUGGCCAAUGGGCGAAAUCCUGAUCCAGCAAUGCCGCGUGAGUGAUGAAGGCCUUAGGGUUGUAAAGCUCUUUUACCCGGGAUGAUAAUGACAGUACCGAGAGAAUAAGCUCCGGCUAACUCCGUG